This 449-nucleotide ribosomal RNA is filed under the name uncultured bacterium. Its description in RNAcentral is "partial 16S ribosomal RNA". It matches the Rfam family "Bacterial small subunit ribosomal RNA", at positions 29 to 523 of the family's 1533-position model. The record is from RNAcentral.
AGCGAACGCUGGCGGCAGGCUUAACACAUGCAAGUCGAACGCCCGGGCAACCGGGAGUGGCAGACGGGUGAGUAACGCGUGGGAACAUACCCUUUGGUUCGGAAUAACUCAGGGAAACUUGAGCUAAUACCGGAUAAGCCCUUAUGGGGAAAGAUUUAUCGCCGAAGGAUUGGCCCGCGUCCGAUUAGCUAGUUGGUGAGGUAACGGCUCACCAAGGCGACGAUCGGUAGCUGGUCUGAGAGGAUGAUCAGCCACACUGGGACUGAGACACGGCCCAGACUCCUACGGGAGGCAGCAGUGGGGAAUAUUGGACAAUGGGGGCAACCCUGAUCCAGCCAUGCCGCGUGAGUGAUGAAGGCCCUAGGGUUGUAAAGCUCUUUCGGCGGGGACGAUAAUGACGGUACCCGCAGAAGAAGCCCCGGCUAACUUCGUGCCAGCCGCCGCCGUAA